RNAcentral lists this ribosomal RNA (414 nucleotides) under uncultured microorganism. Its description in RNAcentral is "bacterial SSU rRNA". It matches the Rfam family "Archaeal small subunit ribosomal RNA", at positions 459 to 872 of the family's 1478-position model. The record is from RNAcentral.
CAGCCGCCGCGGUAAUACCGGCGGCCCGAGUGGCGGCCACUAUUAUUGGGCUUAAAGCGUCCGUAGCCGGGUUGGUUAGUCUCCCGGGAAAUCUGGCCGCUUAACGGUCAGAAUUCCGGGAGAUACUGCCAGCCUAGGGACCGGGAGAGGCCGAGGGUAUUCCCGGAGUAGGGGUGAAAUCCUAUAAUCCCGGGAGGACCACCUGUGGCGAAGGCGCUCGGCUGGAACGGGUCCGACGGUGAGGGACGAAGGCCAGGGGAGCGAACCGGAUUAGAUACCCGGGUAGUCCUGGCUGUAAACGAUGCGGACUUUGUGUCGGACAAGCUAUGAGCUUGUCCGGUGCCGGAGGGAAACCGUUAAGUCCGCCGCCUGGGGAGUACGGCCGCAAGGCUGAAACUUAAAGGAAUUGGCGGG